AUGAUCGCCCGAAAACAGUGGGAGCUUUUUCUGGAAGGAAUGGGGAUGGAGGGAUCGAUCGAAAGGCAACAGGCUUCUAAGAAGUGGGAAAACCUCAAAAAGAAGUACAAGGAUUUGAGGGCUCCCAAAACUGGGUCGGGGACGGAAAGUGGGGAGGUGACUGUGGUGACGUGGCAGUAUUACGAUUUGAUGCAUGAGGUUCUUGGUGCCCGGCCAGCAAUCGACCCACCAGUCCUUGUGUCCUCGAUUCAAGAAGACCCCAUGGUUAUCCUCAUGGUGAGGGUGAUGUGGUUUCAUGAAUUUCACUAACUGCUAUUCAAUCAUGUUUCAUGAGAUAUUAGCUGAACAUUUCUAAAGAAAAUGACUUC
Molecule: long non-coding RNA, 368 nt
Filed under: Gadus morhua (Atlantic cod)
Lineage: Eukaryota; Metazoa; Chordata; Actinopteri; Gadiformes; Gadidae
Description: lncRNA (ENSGMOG00000022897.1)
Source: RNAcentral